GAUUUACAGAGUCUGGACUCGGAGAAGAAGAUGAUGAUGAACCACCGGCUUCAGGAGUUGGAAAAAGAGCUUCUUGAGGAUAACGAUGAUGACGAUGGAAGCGACGCUGUUUCUGUGAUUACGAGCUCGAAUACCGCAUGGUGUGAGACGAUUUAUAAUCUGAUCAGUCCGAAUCCGAGUCCGACGGCGCAGAAUCUGAGUCCGACUUCCUCUGCUUCAUCCUCCUGUUCUUCGUCUACGUCCUCCUCUGUGGCGUCUCCGGCUUCCGAUUCUUGGAAACAGUCUGUAAUCGAGGCUGGCGCUGCGAUUUCCGAGGGGAAAUUAGAGGGCGUUGAUGAGAUUCUUGCGCCGGUCGUCAAGAUUUCGAAUGCUAGAGGUAAUUCUGUACAGAGAUUGGCGGAGUAUAUGGUUUUGGCUCUCAAAUCGCGGGUGAAUCCGGCCGAAUUUCCGCCGCCGGUGUUGGAGAUAUACGGCGACGACCACUCAGCAGCGACUCAGUUGCUGUAUGAUGUUUCUCCUUGCUUCAAGCUCGCUUUCAUGGCGGCGAAUCUCGCGAUUCUUGAGGCGAUUGGGGAAGAGGAUCGGAAAUUGCACGUUGUGGAUUUCGAUAUCGGGAAAGGCGGUCAGUACAUGAACCUAAUCCAUCUUCUCUCCGGCCGCCAGAAAGGGAAGGUCGCCGUGAAGCUGACGGCGGUGGUGGUGGAAAGCGGCGGCGACGAGAGAUUGAAACUGGUCGGCGAGUCGCUGAGUCAGCUCGCGAACGAACUCGGCGUUGGGUUCAAUUUCAACAUCGUGAGACACAAACUGGCGGAGUUAACGCGCGAGUCACUCGGCUGCGAGCCAGACGAAUCACUGACAGUGAAUUUCGCAUUCAAGUUGUAUCGGAUGCCAGACGAGAGCGUCUCAACGGAGAAUCCCCGAGACGAGCUCCUCCGCCGAGUCAAGUCAUUGGCGCCCGCAGUCGUGACGGUAAUGGAGCAAGAAUUGAACAUGAACACUGCCCCUUUCGCAGCACGGGUGGCUGAGUCAUGCGUAUACUACAGUUCGCUAUUCGACUCCAUCGACUCAACCGUGCGAAGAGACCACCCGGACCGGGUCAAGGUUGAGGAGGGACUCGGCCGUAAGCUAGCCAAUUCCCUAGCUUGCGAGGGGAGAGACCGAGUCGAAAGAUGCGAAGUUUCGGGCAAGUGGCGCGCUAGGAUGGGAAUGGCUGGGUUCGAGGCAAGACCGAUGAGUCAAACGGUAGCCGAGUCGAUGAAAACUCGGCUGAGUUCAGGGUACCGAGUCAAUCCAGGGUUCACCGUGAAAGAAGAAAACGGAGGAAUUUGCUUCGGUUGGAUGGGACGGACUCUUACCGUCACAACCGCGUGGCGUUAGUUAAUAACCUUACUCAUUGUCA
Molecule: unclassified non-coding RNA, 1399 nt
Filed under: Hevea brasiliensis (rubber tree)
Lineage: Eukaryota; Viridiplantae; Streptophyta; Magnoliopsida; Malpighiales; Euphorbiaceae
Source: RNAcentral